This 437-nucleotide ribosomal RNA is filed under the name uncultured bacterium. RNAcentral describes it as "bacterial SSU rRNA". It matches the Rfam family "Bacterial small subunit ribosomal RNA", at positions 343 to 797 of the family's 1533-position model. The record is from RNAcentral.
CGGAGGCAGCAGUGGGGAAUUUUCCGCAAUGGGCGAAAGCCUGGCGGAGCAAUACCGCGUGAGGGACGAAGGCCUGUGGGUUGUAAACCUCUUUUGUUAGGGAAGAUAAUGACGGUACCUAACGAAUAAGCAUCGGCUAACUCCGUGCCAGCAGCCGCGGUAAGACGGAGGAUGCAAGCGUUAUCCGGAAUUAUUGGGCGUAAAGCGUACGUAGGCUGUUUCGUAAGUCUGUUGUCAAAGAGCGAGGCUCAACCUUGUAAAGGCAAUGGAAACUGUGAGACCAGAGAGAGAUAGGGGCAGGAGGAAUUCCAGGUGUAGCGGUGAAAUGCGUAGAUAUCUGGAAGAACACCAGUGGCGAAAGCGUCCUGCUGGAUCUCAACUGACGCUGAAGUACGAAAGCUAGGGGAGCGAAUGGGAUUAGAAACCCCAGUAGUCCC